Pygocentrus nattereri (red-bellied piranha) is the source of this 539-nucleotide long non-coding RNA. RefSeq lists it as uncharacterized. The record is from RefSeq and is a predicted model, not a curated record. The transcript has 2 exons. Lineage: Eukaryota; Metazoa; Chordata; Actinopteri; Characiformes; Serrasalmidae.
GCUUCCUUGCGCGUUAAACGGCGCUGUUGUGGCCUCCUGUUGCUUUUCUCGCCAUGCUGCCUUUAUUAGAAUCGGGACUCUAAUAUAUCAGCUCACUAGUGUUGGGUGGGUGACUGCAUUUUAGAGCACUAUAUUUAAAUACUGGCGUGGAUUAUAGACGCUGCUUUUCUUUUUUUUCAGGUGCCCAGUUUUUUUCUCCUGUCCUGUUUUCUCACAUUACAUGUGGCAACAUAGAUUUAGUGCUGUGUGAGUGUGGCCUUGCAAAUUGUGUGACAGUUUGUUAUCUAUAGGUAUGAGUUUUAUAUUUAUAUUUACAUUUUAGGCUGAGACAUUUCCACCAUAGCCGGACAGGGCAAUAUCAUGUGUAUAUCAACUGUCCUUGCAUUCACAAGCUGGAAGAAACUUCUGAGUCACAGAUGUAGAACACACAUCACGUUAGAAACAGCAGGUGCUCAGUCCAUUACAUUUUCACGUCAGACAUAAUUUCAUGCUUUUAAUAUUUUUGUGAGGCUUUAAUGUUAAUAAAGCUGUUGAAUCAA